UACGUAGGUGGCAAGCGUUGUCCGGAAUUAUUGGGCGUAAAGGGCGCGUAGGCGGUACCUUAAGUCAGAUGUGAAAACCCGAGGCUUAACUUCGGAGGUGCAUUUGAAAACUGGGGAACUAGAGUGCAGGAGAGGUAAGUGGAAUUCCUAGUGUAGCGGUGAAAUGCGUAGAUAUUAGGAGGAACACCAGUGGCGAAGGCGACUUACUGGACUGACACUGACGCUGGAGGCGCGAAAAGCCGUGGGGGAUCAAAACAGGAUUAGAAAACCCCCCAGUUAGUCC
This 283-nucleotide ribosomal RNA is filed under the name uncultured bacterium. RNAcentral describes it as "partial 16S ribosomal RNA". It matches the Rfam family "Bacterial small subunit ribosomal RNA", at positions 524 to 796 of the family's 1533-position model. The record is from RNAcentral.